GUUACCCAGUGACCACUGGAGAAAUAAUGAGAUAACAACGGGAAAAAUUGUAGCUUCUGUGCAAACUUCAAGUCCCAAGAACCAGUUUGCUUUGAAUGCACAGCGUCUGGCACUCUACAAGUGUGAACUGAAUGGUUGAAUGAAUGGACUAAUGAGAACACCGAGACCCUGAAGAAGGACAGAAAAAAAAUGACCUUCAGUUUGGAAUAAGGAAUCUCACAUUAAAUAUGAGAAGAAUUAGAUGGGACAGUCUUAGACAUACAACCCACUUUUUUGAUUCUAUGCUUUGAAAUAGAAUUAUGUCAGUGUAGCCUUAAUUUCAGCUGCUGGUACCUUAUCAUGGGAGAUCAAGAAGAAUCAACACGAUUUUGAGUGAAUGGAAAGGAAAGAAUGAGAGAAACAGUUCCCUGAUUGAACAAAAAUAAAAUUAUCAGAAUACUGGGAUAGCCACAGUUAGAGAGAAUAUUGCUUCUCAAAAUGUGCAGUGGACAACAGCCAUUAUAAACAUUGCUUCUAGAAGAGAAGUUUCCAGGAAACAUCCUUUGCAUCAGCCCAUUCAUACUUCAAGUACCCCCACACAAUAUGAUGAGGUGGGAGUGAAUGAGGACUCAGAGGGACCAUUUUGAAUUGGGAUUUCUAAGAAAAGGUUUUCUUCACAAAAUGGAUGCUGGUAAAGCUGGAACUGGAACCUAGAUCUGCUGUUCACUAAGUGAUGGGAAGAAAUCUCCUGAUUGGUGUUACUGUUCAAAUUUUAGGCAGUAAUAGUCAGGGGGCAACAUGAAGGUAACUGUACGAUGCCAUGGUACAAACGGAGCUCAGCCUGAUAAUCAACUCAAGAAUAAAGAAAGCUAAUUUUGCAUUUUCAAGACUCUAGCUGAUCUCUAGCCCUGUGGCUACUGCAGCAAAUUUCCUGAAAUCACCUGUUGGUCACCCUUUGCCUCAUUAAAUGACUGUAGAUUAAUAAGCAUGCGGAAUCAGGAGACAGUUCUGUCCUAGGGAAGGCAAAUUGCAGUCCAACUUCAAAGCAACACACCUGACCUCAUAUAAAAGUGUUCUAGCUUAUUACUUUGCACGACUGUGUGUUUCAAUUUAUUACACUGAUGACUUACCUUGUACUACUCUGUGUUCAAUUAUGUAUUUCCUGUUCUCAUUACAGACCUUCAAACGACCGCAAAAACAUAUUCAUUUAAUGCUUUUUCUGUUCUUUUAAAAUUUUUAUCACUCAGAAAAGAGGAAGAAAAUGGUUUGAGCAUUAGCACUGGGUAUAAACUCAGACCGAGUCUAUGUACUUAAAUUACUCUGAUAAUUGGAGCAAAGAAACUCUUUUACCUGAAAUAUCUGAAGAGCAGCUAGGAAAGUAUAGUUGGGGGAGUCUUAACUAUUCAGAUAUUUUGCAUAAAAUAGCGCAUCUACUAUGUAACUUAAUACAAAGAAAGCAGAAUAAUGUAAAACUCUUGGGGGCCCAAAGAGACCCGUGUACCAGCUGGGGUUUUGGAAAAAGAUGGGGACAAUGUGUUUUAGUUGAGAGUCUUCCAUUUACUAAUUUCAUGCUUUGGGGGAAUCUUAAUUUGGGAGAAAAAAAAGGUUACCUGUGUAAUGGCUCCUCAUUCUUAAAUUCUGUGGCUAUUUUUAUAUGAAAAGCCAAAAUCAAUCCAAGCUAAAAUAACUAAUAAAAUAUA
Molecule: long non-coding RNA, 1679 nt
Organism: Camelus dromedarius (Arabian camel)
Lineage: Eukaryota; Metazoa; Chordata; Mammalia; Artiodactyla; Camelidae
Exons: 3
Source: RefSeq, a predicted model, not a curated record